UGGGGAAUCUUGGACAAUGGGGGCAACCCUGAUCCAGCGACGCCGCGUGGGUGAUGAAGGCCUUCGGGUUGUAAAGCCCUUUCACCGGGGACGAUGAUGACGGUACCCGGAGAAGAAGCACCGGCUAACUCCGUGCCAGCAGCCGCGGUAAGACGGAGGGUGCUAGCGUUGUUCGGAAUCACUGGGCGUAAAGGGCGCGUAGGCGGCCAAGGCAGUCGGCUCGUGAAAGCCCGGGGCUCAACCCCGGAGGUGCGGCCGAUACACCUUGGCUCGAGGCCGGAAGAGGAGGGUGGAAUACCCAGUGUAGAGGUGAAAUUCGUAGAUAUUGGGUGGAACGCCGGUGGCGAAAGCGGCUCUCUGGUCCGGACCUGACGCUGAGGCGCGAAAGCGUGGGGAGCAAACAGG
RNAcentral lists this ribosomal RNA (405 nucleotides) under uncultured bacterium. RNAcentral describes it as "bacterial SSU rRNA". It matches the Rfam family "Bacterial small subunit ribosomal RNA", at positions 355 to 776 of the family's 1533-position model. The record is from RNAcentral.